RNAcentral lists this transfer RNA (74 nucleotides) under marine sediment metagenome. RNAcentral describes it as "tRNA-Lys". It matches the Rfam family "tRNA". From Rfam's summary of the family: Transfer RNA (tRNA) molecules are approximately 80 nucleotides in length. Their secondary structure includes four short double-helical elements and three loops (D, anti-codon, and T loops). Further hydrogen bonds mediate the characteristic L-shaped molecular structure. tRNAs have two regions of fundamental functional importance: the anti-codon, which is responsible for specific mRNA codon recognition, and the 3' end, to which the tRNAs corresponding amino acid is attached (by aminoacyl-tRNA synthetases). tRNAs cope with the degeneracy of the genetic code in two manners: having more than one tRNA (with a specific anti-codon) for a particular amino acid; and 'wobble' base-pairing, i.e. permitting non-standard base-pairing at the 3rd anti-codon position. The record is from RNAcentral.
GGGUUCGUAGCUCAGUCUGGUAGAGCAUCCGGUUCUUAACCGGAAUGUCGCAAGUUCAAAUCUUGUCGAGCCCA